GGGCAAGGAGAUAUUUCUUUUCUCUUCUCAAUCUCUUUCAUCUCCAUCUUUUUCUUUGCAAAUUUUCUCCUCUUUUUUGCUUUACUUGUAGCCUAUUCUUUACUCUUUCCUUUUGUUCUUCCAUCUUUAUUUCUUUCCACAAUGAUAAGAAAUGAUUUAGUGCUAGUUGAUUUAAAAAAAACAGAAAGAGAGAACCAAAAUUACCAAAGAAGUAAAGGCCUCACUUCGACCAAAAGAGGGUAGAAAUUUUUCCAAGGAAAGAAAAUGAAGAAAGAAAAAGAAAAUCACUUCCUAGGGUUUUUGUAAAAAGGCAGGAACAAAGAGAAGUUAAGUUGGGGAUUCAACCAAGGUACUGGAGAUCAGUCCCAGCAGCCGCAGCAGCAACAGUAGUAGUGCUCACACAGAGACCGAUCAGAUCUGCCAGUGUUUACUAGUCACCUCUACAGUUAUAUUUUGGUAGGGCCCAUGUAUAG
Molecule: unclassified non-coding RNA, 473 nt
Filed under: Hevea brasiliensis (rubber tree)
Lineage: Eukaryota; Viridiplantae; Streptophyta; Magnoliopsida; Malpighiales; Euphorbiaceae
Source: RNAcentral